AUGCACGCUAGCGGCAGGCCUAAUACAUGCAAGUCGGACGGGAUUCAGGAGCUUGCUUCUGAUGAGAGUGGCGCACGGGUGCGUAACACGUAUGUAACCUACCUUUAUCAGGGGGAUAGCCUCUCGAAAGAGAGAUUAAGCCCGCAUAAAAUCACAGCACAGCAUUGUGUAAUGAUCAAAUAUUUAUAGGAUAAAGAUGGGCAUGCGGAACAUUAGCUAGAUGGCGGGGUAACGGCCCACCAUGGCGACGAUGUUUAGGGGAUCUGAGAGGAUGGCCCCACACACUGGUACGGAGACACGGACCAGACGCCUACGGGAGGCAGCAGUAAGGAAUAUUGGUCAAUGGGCGGAAGCCUGAACCAGCCAUGCCGCGUGCAGGAAGACGGCCCUACGGGUUGUAAACUGCUUUUAUACGGGAAUAAACCCAGAUACGUGUAUCUGGCUGAAUGUACUGUAAGAAUAAGGAUCGGCUAACUCCGUG
This 481-nucleotide ribosomal RNA is filed under the name uncultured bacterium. RNAcentral describes it as "partial 16S ribosomal RNA". It matches the Rfam family "Bacterial small subunit ribosomal RNA", at positions 29 to 507 of the family's 1533-position model. The record is from RNAcentral.